Molecule: ribosomal RNA, 318 nt
Filed under: Escherichia coli
Lineage: Bacteria; Pseudomonadati; Pseudomonadota; Gammaproteobacteria; Enterobacterales; Enterobacteriaceae
Description: bacterial SSU rRNA
Rfam family: Bacterial small subunit ribosomal RNA
Source: RNAcentral
AACGGUAGCUAUACCGCAUAACGUCGCAAGCCCAAAGAGGGGGACCUUCGGGCCUCUUGCCAUCGGAUGUGCCCAGAUGGGAUUAGCUAGUAGGUGGGGUAACGGCUCACCUAGGCGACGAUCCCUAGCUGGUCUGAGAGGAUGACCAGCCACACUGGAACUGAGACACGGUCCAGACUCCUACGGGAGGCAGCAGUGGGGAAUAUUGCACAAUGGGCGCAAGCCUGAUGCAGCCAUGCCGCGUGUAUGAAGAAGGCCUUCGGGUUGUAAAGUACUUUCAGCGGGGAGGAAGGGAGUAAAGUUAAUACCUUUGCUCAU